Molecule: long non-coding RNA, 259 nt
Filed under: Numida meleagris (helmeted guineafowl)
Lineage: Eukaryota; Metazoa; Chordata; Aves; Galliformes; Numididae
Description: lncRNA (ENSNMEG00000010149.1)
Source: RNAcentral
UUCUCCUAGCAAGAUUUUUUUUUGCAGUUUUCCAGAAAUGAGCAAAAUCAGUCUGCAUGAAGCCUGCCAGAGUCCUGGACCUCAGUUGCAUAGAGUUGAGCAGACUGACCUGGAAUCGAGGCUGACAACAAAAAGGAAGAAGAAAGUGUCACAUCACCUGAUGAAAUUAAGCUUUUUAUUCUCUGCCUAAAUCUUCUGUCUGGUAGCAAAGUAAGUACAUUAUGAUAAUAAAUAUAGUCUUACUAGAAGGUCUCUGCCA